This 771-nucleotide ribosomal RNA is filed under the name uncultured Vagococcus sp. RNAcentral's name for it is "bacterial SSU rRNA". It matches the Rfam family "Bacterial small subunit ribosomal RNA", at positions 28 to 776 of the family's 1533-position model. The record is from RNAcentral. Lineage: Bacteria; Bacillati; Bacillota; Bacilli; Lactobacillales; Enterococcaceae.
GACGAACGCUGGCGGCGUGCCUAAUACAUGCAAGUCGAACGCACGAAGUUGAAGAGCUUGCUCUUUAACCAAGUGAGUGGCGGACGGGUGAGUAACACGUGGGUAACCUGCCCAUUAGAGGGGGAUAACAUUCGGAAACGGAUGCUAAUACCGCAUAGUUUCAGGAAUCGCAUGAUUCUUGAAGGAAAGGUGGCUUCGGCUACCACUAAUGGAUGGACCCGCGGCGUAUUAGCUAGUUGGUGAGGUAAUGGCUCACCAAGGCAAUGAUACGUAGCCGACCUGAGAGGGUGAUCGGCCACACUGGGACUGAGACACGGCCCAGACUCCUACGGGAGGCAGCAGUAGGGAAUCUUCCGCAAUGGACGAAAGUCUGACGGAGCAACGCCGCGUGAGCGAAGAAGGUUUUCGGAUCGUAAAACUCUGUUGUUAAAGAAGAACAAGGAUGAGAGUAACUGCUCAUCCCCUGACGGUAUUUAACCAGAAAGCCACGGCUAACUACGUGCCAGCAGCCGCGGUAAUACGUAGGUGGCAAGCGUUGUCCGGAUUUAUUGGGCGUAAAGCGAGCGCAGGCGGUUCUUUAAGUCUGAUGUGAAAGCCCCCGGCUCAACCGGGGAGGGUCAUUGGAAACUGGAGAACUUGAGUGCAGAAGAGGAGAGUGGAAUUCCACGUGUAGCGGUGAAAUGCGUAGAUAUGUGGAGGAACACCAGUGGCGAAGGCGACUCUCUGGUCUGUAACUGACGCUGAGGCUCGAAAGCGUGGGGAGCAAACAGG